UACGGAGGGUGCAAGCGUUGCUCGGAAUACUGGGCGUAAAGCGAGCGCAGGCGGGCUAUUAAGCCAGAUGUGAAAGCCCAAGGCUCAACCUUGGAAUUGCAUCUGGAACUGGUAGCCUAGAGGAUAAGAGAGGGAAGUAGAAUUCCUGGUGUAGAGGUGAAAUUCGUUGAUAUCAGGAGGAAUACCUGUGGCGAAGGCGGCUUCCUGGCUUAUUUCUGACGCUGAGGCUCGAAAGCGUGGGUAGCGAACA
Molecule: ribosomal RNA, 250 nt
Filed under: uncultured bacterium
Lineage: Bacteria
Description: partial 16S ribosomal RNA
Rfam family: Bacterial small subunit ribosomal RNA
Source: RNAcentral